RNAcentral lists this ribosomal RNA (1224 nucleotides) under Seiridium aquaticum. RNAcentral's name for it is "partial large subunit ribosomal RNA". It matches the Rfam family "Eukaryotic large subunit ribosomal RNA", at positions 114 to 1366 of the family's 3401-position model. The record is from RNAcentral. Lineage: Eukaryota; Fungi; Ascomycota; Sordariomycetes; Amphisphaeriales; Sporocadaceae.
UUUGAAAUCUGGCCCUUGGGUCCGAAUUGUAAUUUGUAGAGGAUGAUUUUGGUGCGGUAUCUUCCGAGUUCCUUGGAACAGGACGCCUUAGAGGGUGAGAGCCCCGUACGGUUGAAUGCCUAGCCUCUGUAAAUCUCCUUCGACGAGUCGAGUAGUUUGGGAAUGCUGCUCUAAAUGGGAGGUAAAUUUCUUCUAAAGCUAAAUACUGGCCAGAGACCGAUAGCGCACAAGUAGAGUGAUCGAAAGAUGAAAAGCACUUUGAAAAGAGGGUUAAAUAGCACGUGAAAUUGUUGAAAGGGAAGGAUUUAUGACCAGACUUUUUCUGGGCGGAUCAUCCGGUGUUCUCACCGGUGCACUUUGCCCAGUUUAGGCCAGCAUCGAUUUUCGGAGAGGGAUAAAAGCUUUAGGAAUGUGGCUCCUCCGGGAGUGUUAUAGCCUAUUGUAUAAUACCUUUCUGGGGAUCGAGGUACGCGCUUCUGCAAGGAUGCUGGCGUAAUGGUUAUCAAUCACCCGUCUUGAAACACGGACCAAGGAGUCGAACAUUUGUGCGAGUGUUUGGGUGUUAAACCCUCACGCGUAAUGAAAGUGAACGGAGGUGAGAGCCCUUACGGGUGCAUCAUCGACCGAUCCUGAAGUUUUCGGAUGGAUUUGAGUAAGAGCAUAACUGUUCGGACCCGAAAGAUGGUGAACUAUGCGUGGAUAGGGUGAAGCCAGAGGAAACUCUGGUGGAGGCUCGCAGCGGUUCUGACGUGCAAAUCGAUCGUCAAAUCUGCGCAUGGGGGCGAAAGACUAAUCGAACCAUCUAGUAGCUGGUUACCGCCGAAGUUUCCCUCAGGAUAGCAGUGUUGUCUUCAGUUUUAUGAGGUAAAGCGAAUGAUUAGGGACUCGGGGGCUAUUUUUUGCCUUCAUCCAUUCUCAAACUUUAAAUAUGUAAGAAGCCCUUGUUACUUAAUUGAACGUGGGCAUUCGAAUGUACCAACACUAGUGGGCCAUUUUUGGUAAGCAGAACUGGCGAUGCGGGAUGAACCGAACGCGGGGUUAAGGUGCCGGAGUGGACGCUCAUCAGACACCACAAAAGGUGUUAGUACAUCUUGACAGCAGGACGGUGGCCAUGGAAGUCGGAAUCCGCUAAGGACUGUGUAACAACUCACCUGCCGAAUGUACUAGCCCUGAAAAUGGAUGGCGCUCAAGCGUCCCACCCAUACCUCGCCCUUAGGGUAGAAA